This 389-nucleotide ribosomal RNA is filed under the name uncultured bacterium. RNAcentral's name for it is "bacterial SSU rRNA". It matches the Rfam family "Bacterial small subunit ribosomal RNA", at positions 30 to 419 of the family's 1533-position model. The record is from RNAcentral.
AUUGAACGCUGGCGGCAUGCCUUACACAUGCAAGUCGAACGGCAGCACGGGAGCAAUCCUGGUGGCGAGAGGCGAACGGGUGAGUAAUAUAUCGGAACGUGCCCAGUCGUGGGGGAUAACGUAGCGAAAGCUACGCUAAUACCGCAUACGAUCUAUGGAUGAAAGCGGGGGAUCGCAAGACCUCGCGCGAUUGGAGCGGCCGAUAUCAGAUUAGGUAGUUGGUGGGGUAAAAGCCUACCAAGCCUUCGAUCUGUAGCUGGUCUGAGAGGACGACCAGCCACACUGGAACUGAGACACGGUCCAGACUCCUACGGGAGGCAGCAGUGGGGAAUUUUGGACAAUGGGCGCAAGCCUGAUCCAGCAAUGCCGCGUGCAGGAUGAAGGCCUUC